GGAAGUGCCUGACUAGCUGGUGCGGUCCCCGGUCUUCAAAACCGGUGUGGGGGGCGAAGAGCUUCCUGGGCAGGUUCGAUUCCUGUGCACUUCCGCUA
RNAcentral lists this transfer RNA (98 nucleotides) under Myxococcales bacterium FL481. RNAcentral's name for it is "tRNA-Sec". It matches the Rfam family "Selenocysteine transfer RNA". Lineage: Bacteria; Pseudomonadati; Myxococcota; Myxococcia; Myxococcales. The record is from RNAcentral.